GCCCACGACACCUUGCUUAGCCACACCCUCAAGGGAAUUCAGCAGUGAUAGACAUUAAGCCAUAAGUGAAAACUUGACUUAGUCAAAGCUAAGAGGGCCGGUAAAACUCGUGCCAGCCACCGCGGUUAUACGAGAGACCCAAGUUGAUGGACCCCGGCGUAAAGUGUGGUUAAGGAAACACUAAACUAAAGCCGAAUAUCUUCAGAACUGUCAUACGCACCCGAAGAUAAGAAGUACAACUACGAAAGUGGCUUU
RNAcentral lists this ribosomal RNA (255 nucleotides) under Bostockia porosa. Its description in RNAcentral is "partial 12S ribosomal RNA". The record is from RNAcentral. Lineage: Eukaryota; Metazoa; Chordata; Actinopteri; Centrarchiformes; Percichthyidae.